UAUGUGAUCGUCUCUCGCAUAUCAAUAAGCGGAGGAAAAGAAACUAACAAGGAUUCCCCUAGUAACGGCGAGUGAAGCGGGAAGAGCUCAAAUUUGAAAUCUUAAAGGGUUUCCCUUUACGAAUUGUAGUUUAAAGAAGCGUUUUCUGUUGAGGUUUUGGUAAAAGUUCUUUGGAAUAGGACAUCAUAGAGGGUGAGAAUCCCGUAUUUGACCUUUACUUUCAACUUUGUGAUACACUUUCAAAGAGUCGGAUUGUUUGGGAAUGCAGUCCAAAAUGGGUGGUAAAUUUCAUCUAAAGCUAAAUAUUGGCGAGAGACCGAUAGCGAACAAGUACCGUGAGGGAAAGAUGAAAAGAACUUUGAAAAGAGAGUUAAACAGUACGUGAAAUUGUCAAAAGGGAAGCGUUUGACACCAGUGUUGUUUUUCUGAAAAUCAAUUAAAGAACUGUUUAUGCUAAGUUGUUUAGACUUUAUCAGCUAACUGUUUAGUUUUGAGCUUUUCUUUAAUGCACUUUUCAGUUAACAAGUCAACAUCAAUUUCUUUUGCUGUAAAAAAGCUUGAGGAAGGUGGCUUGAGAUUCGUCUUAAGUGUUUAUAGCCUCUUGCCUAUGCAGUCGGAGAGAUUGAGGUCUGCAGCGUAGAUCCUUCGGGGCUAAAUGCAUUUGUGCUAAGUUAUAGCAUUUUAUAGACAACUUGUUGACUAUGAUUUGUCUUGUAGCUUACUCGCUUAUGUCAUUUUACCUACGCUUAGGAUGUUGACACACGCGCGUGCUCG
Molecule: ribosomal RNA, 774 nt
Filed under: uncultured Neocallimastigales
Lineage: Eukaryota; Fungi; Neocallimastigomycota; Neocallimastigomycetes; Neocallimastigales
Description: partial large subunit ribosomal RNA
Rfam family: Eukaryotic large subunit ribosomal RNA
Source: RNAcentral